GAACUCAUCUCGAGCCUCCUGGUUUUCAAACCAACAUGCACACAAGUCCAAACAUAUAAUAUGAACCGCUGGAAAGCCUUAGAUCAAACAACGGAACAUAUAUGCUCAAAAAGAGAGGUCAGGUUGUUACAUUAAUCAACCGCAUAUGUUUUGGACUUAAUAGGAGUGAAAAAUACUACGGUUCUGCAUUCUCUAAAUGUAGUGUGGCUGUUUCCAAUUUCUGAGUCGAACCGUAAAUCUACAUUAAAGUAGUUGUCACACCUCCAAAGGCUGGAGUUUAGGAGGCCAAUAUUGUGGUUGUGAUAGCGACCUAGAUCCUUGGGAGUGCUCUGAAACAUAGGGCCUGGGAAGAAUUCCAUCACCUCAAGUGAUGGCUUUCCAUUAGAGCCAUUGACACUCAUCUUCUUCAUUAUUGUCGACGCCGAAUCAUCCAAUUUCGUGUCGAUUUUGGUAGUAGCCGAGCAUUGGUGUCUCCGAUCUUAGAAUUUUUAUCUCAAGCAAGGGCAGAUUUAUAGGCAAAAAUAUGGGGUACAUGAACUGCAGCUUGUUACAGAGUGCAGCAUAUCUUGAGAAUUUGGUCAUUGACUGGAAAACUCGCAACCCAAAGAGUGGCGGAGUUCCUACAACCAAUCAGGGAUCUCCAUUGGGUGCAAAGCAUAAAAUAGAAGUUUCUAUACUUAGGGUUCAUAAUGGAUGAUAAUGAUGAUUAGAAGAAGUUUGAGACAAGUGUUUUUAAUUGCUCGCUGCUACAUUUGAAGACCAUAAUUAUUCACUUUCAUGGACUGCUAAGUGUAAAUGGAUUUGUGCUGCCAUUGGUGAAGUAUUUGCUCAAGAAUGCGGAUGUGCUGGAGAAGUUAACUUUUGCUGCCAAAAUUGAAGAGAUUGAUAUGAUUCAGGCUUAUUUUGAAAGCUUUCCAAGGUCCCCUCCAAAUGCUUCAAUUGUCUAUAUUCAUUGACCCUUUUAUACUUGUAAGUUGUAUAGUAUAGUUAGUGUACAGCAGCUUAAAAACAAAUGUCUAUGGCUUCCGCAGUUUUGGUGCAAUCUACAGGACGUAAAUGAUGAAGAUAGUAUGUUAGACUUCAUAAAAUCCUUGCAAAUGUAGGAUCUUUUGCUGCAACAAUCCUUCUCUUUUGUUUGCGGUACAGAAGGAUUUCUGAUUCUUGUAAUGCCUUAGCUGGCACCAGCUUGGUGCUAAGCUUUCUCCUUUUUGUAUAUACAUAAGGCAAUUUGUUGCACGCAGGCUGUUGCAGGGGCAGUAACGCAGAGGACUAAAGAGAUUACUAUUCAAUUUCAUAUUGUUGGACUGUAAAUGGAGGAGUCAGCUAGAUACUUUAAAUAGAUGUACAGUUUAGCGCUGUCUAUAUGAAGAGGUCCUAGUACAUAUCCUUCCUUGAAGGCCAAAUUUGUUUAUCUGUAGUUACAGUUUGUUUUGUUUUUGAGAACUAACUCUUGACUAAGAGUUAGCUUGUAUAUUGAAAUACUUUGGUUGAAAUAAUUUUUUCUUACUUUUGAC
Molecule: long non-coding RNA, 1514 nt
Organism: Nicotiana attenuata
Lineage: Eukaryota; Viridiplantae; Streptophyta; Magnoliopsida; Solanales; Solanaceae
Exons: 3
Source: RefSeq, a predicted model, not a curated record